CAAAGGCAUCUGAGUGGUAAGAGCAUCCGGAGCCCAGGACUGCUGAGUCAACCCUCUGGAAUGCCCACAACUCCCCACUUGGGACUUCCGCACAGCCACGUGAGCCGGUGGAGCCGGGUCUGUUUGCUAGUGGAGGCUGUUAACAGCACGGGAAGUGGUCAAGGGUUCAACAAGAGAUGAGCCAUCUGGUCCUCCAGAGGUGGAGGAGGCACGUGACCCACAUGGUCUGGCCACUGAUGACUGAACAAGCUAUGGACACUGGACCCAGGAGAGACCAUUCACUCACUGGCCAUGAACAUGACUUCAGAUACACGCCCCAAAAGGAUGAGCCUGGGUACUGGAUUCCCUCCUUCAGAAACAUGAAUCAAGAGACACAGGAUAUUCCUAUUGGUCCAGAUACUUGAGCUAAAAGUCCAUAGAUAUGUGGAUGUGGGGUGGUCAUUCUGGGAGUACAUCCAUAUAGAAAGAGGAGCAGGUGCUGUGGGAUUCUGGAUCCCAGUGAUAGAGCUAAAUGGCUGGAUCAAGCUUCACCUGAAACCCACUCUACUUGUCUUAGUCCAUUUUGUAUUGCUAUAAAAGAAUACCUGUGACUGGGUAUAAAGAAAAGAGGCUUAUUUCA
This 619-nucleotide non-coding RNA is filed under the name Pongo abelii (Sumatran orangutan). The record is from RNAcentral. Lineage: Eukaryota; Metazoa; Chordata; Mammalia; Primates; Hominidae.